Molecule: ribosomal RNA, 253 nt
Filed under: uncultured bacterium
Lineage: Bacteria
Description: partial 16S ribosomal RNA
Rfam family: Bacterial small subunit ribosomal RNA
Source: RNAcentral
UACGUAGGUGGCGAGCGUUGUCCGGAUUUACUGGGCGUAAAGAGCGCGCAGGCGGCUGGUCAAGUCCGAUGUGAAAGCUCCCGGCUUAACUGGGAAAUUGCAUCGGAAACUGUUCGGCUGGAAGGUGGGAGAGGGUAGCGGAAUUCCCGGUGUAGUGGUGAAAUGCGCAGAUAUCAGGAAGAACACCAAUGGCGAAGGCAGCUCUCUGGGACGGUACUGACGCUGAGACGCGAAAGCGUGGGGAGCGAACAGG